AAAACUAAUAUUCUUAUUUCAUGCUAAUAUUCUGAUUUUAUACACUUUUCUACAUGCGCCUCUUGAUAAAACCAUCUUAUUUCAUCCUCAGUUGGUUGUGUAUUCAACGAUGGGUUUUGAUCUUCUCCGACUUCACUCGCCGGAACCGAAGACGAUAUUGGAUCACUUGCUUCUUCCAUCUUCUUUCAAAUUAAUAGCAAAUUUUUUUGUUUUUGGAAAAAGAAAUUAAAUUCUAAAUUCCAUUAUCUAUAUUCUAUUUCAAUGUAUCUUCCUCGUAUUCGGUCGUAUUCAAAUAAUUAAAACUUUUUUUCUAUAAUUUUUACAAAAGUACAAGACUUUUCUUUAUUAAUUAGUUUCAAUAGAUCUUGGGCUAUAUAUAUACUUCCUAUAUUUAGAGCUGAUAUCAUUCUCAGCUUUCAAACUUCAUCACCUAUUCAAAUGGCUGGAACGAUUGCGAAGGUAAUUAAGUAUCAUUUUUAAAUAAUUUACUAAUUUGCAAGUGAUGUUAUAUAUAUUGUACUACUAGAUAAAAGUACUUCACUAGUUCCUUCACAGUUUAUCAUGAUUCAUUAAUUCUUUAUUAAAGUCGUUUUAAUUUGAGAUGAUCUUAAUUGAAUCAGUUUAAACUCUUUAAAAAUUUAUUUUCAGUAUAAGUGUAAAUUUAAAUUUUACUGUAUUUUUUAUUUUUGCUAAUGGCCAAGUCAUACAUUUUGUGCGACUAGGACCAGUUUCCAAUUCUUUUUUAAAACAAUUAACAAAAAUUCAGUUUGAAUUUACCUCAAAUUGUUGUUUGCAUUGUGAAUUCCUUGUUUCUAAGCUUUAAAUUGAAAAAUUGUUGAAAAUAAGUUUUAAUAAUGAUUUUUAGAGAGAAUAUAAUAUUGUAGAGUGAUAUGAGUGUAUUAUAAUUUUAUUAAACAAAAAUUGACAACACAAUAAAAAAGACGACAAUAAAAAAAUAAAAAAAUUAAGUCUAACGACUUUUGAUAACAUCUCAAUUCUCUCAUAUUACACCUGUCCCAUUGUACUUGCUAUUAAUAUUGACAUUUUUCACACAAUAUCUUAUAAUUGGAUACGAACAUUUUAAAGCGAGAGAAAUAUAAAAAUAAUUAUGUAUUCAGUCUUCACAUUAAGUCUUGAACUCACAAAUAAAUCCAAUAAAACGUUAUUAUUUAUUUUUUUCAUUUUCAAAGUAAAAAUCCAAUAAAGUUUUCUCUUUUUUAAUCUCUCUAUUUACUAUCUCUCUCAUCUUCUCUAACAAAAAAGCAGAAGAGAGAGAAAGAAAUAGAAAUACAAGAGUUGACAACGAGUAGUAUCCGUUUUUUUCAGUUAGACACAAAAAAAUUUAAAAAUUUUAAACAAAUCUCUUUCUUUGUCUGUCUUUCUCUUUCUCAAACCCCCAAUUUAAAAAUGGUGUCUGACCAACAAAUAGCUGAAGCUUUACAAUUCUUUAUUUUGUCAAAUAAACCCUAAUUCUUUCACUUCACUCAACCAAGUUAUUCUUCAAUUGCAAUCCAAUUUAGGGUUUGAUCUUUCUAACAAAAUUGAUUUCAUUCGUGCUCAUAUUAGUCUUUUGUUCAAUUCUCAGCCUCCUCCUCCUCCUCCUGUUCCUGUUCCGCCGCCGUCGAUUGUAUCUACUGUCACUUUAGUUCACGAUGAAUGUUAUCAAUUGGGGUUUUUUCCUGGUAGGAAAACGAGGAAGUAAUGGAUGUUUGGGAUGUAAAAGUUUAGACUUUUUUGCGAGGGGUGAGGAAGGGGGCAUUUUUCUCAUUUUAUCUUAUGAUGAGUUAGGGUUUUUGGAAAAGGGUUAAUUUAUUUUACUCUGAAGAACUUGUUUAUAAUGAUUUGUGAUAAGGAAAGGGAAAGUAAAAUAGAAAGGAAGAACUUCAAUGCUUGUUGAUUUGAGGCUUUUUGAGAGGUUUUUGGCUAAGGCUUACAUUUGACUUAUGGAAGUAUCAAAUCAUGACACUCUGAUAUGGUUUGAGGCUUUAAUUAGAGCUGUGUUUGUUACUUUAACAACAUUAACUUCUUUGAAGCAUAUGUACUAAAUUUGAUUGGUAAAUUAAUGUAUUUAUCUGCUGAAGAUUGUCAGGCAACUUUGGGCAUAUAUAAGAAAGAACAAUCUCCAAGAUCCGAGUAACAAAAGAAAGAUAAUAUGCAAUGAUGAGUUGCGAUUGGUAUUUGAAGUUGACUGUACGGAUAUGUUUCAGAUGAACAAGCUGCUGGCAAAACAUAUUAUUCCUCUUGAUCCCACAAGUGGUGGUAUGGGAUCUUUUAACAAACAUUUGGCAAAGAAGCAUGGAAUCACAAAAGAAACUCAUGCAGCAAGUGGCAGCGGGACCACAAGUGGAAGCCAACGGUGGGACAUUCCCAGCAUAGGUAUGCCUUUUAAAUAUAAUCGUAAUGAUAUGAUUGAUGAAUUUUCUAAGUAUGUAAUUUGUGAUGAAUUGCCAUUUAACCAUGGUGAAAGUAGGGCAUACGAGCGUUACACUAGAAAAACUUUGCAACCACAAUAUAGAGCAAUUCCUAAGAGCACUCUUAAACGACGCAUAAUUAAAUUAUAUGAAACAAUGCGUUAUUAAUUAGUAGAAAUGUUUAAAUCUUUUAAUGGUAGGGUUAGCAUAACAACUGAUAUUUGGUCUGCUCCCCCACAUUUAGAAUCUUAUAUGUGUGUAACAGCACAUUGGAUAGAUCAAAAUUGGAUUAUUCAAAAAAGAAUAAUUGCUUUUGAGGCAAUGCUCGAAAGACAUACGGGUGAAAACAUAAAAUACAGAUUAGUAGAGAUAUGUAGAGAAUGGAACAUAAUAGAUAAGAUAUUUUGUUGUUCUACCGAUAAUGCAACCGCUAACAUUAAAUGUAUGGAACUUUUGUAUAACGAACCUGCAUUUAGUUUUAUCCUUGGGGGUAGAUUAUUACACAUACGUUGUUGUGCUCAUAUAGUAAACUUAUCUUGCCAAGCAGGUAUAAAACAAUUAAGUGAUUUAUUAGAUUCAAUUAGAGACAUAGUGAAGUGGCUUAGAAUUGGACAGAUAAAGAGACGAUAUAAGCAAUUAUGUGACCAUUAUCAAUUGAAAAAAGUGUAUUGGUCAUUAGAUACUCCUACAAGUUGGGGCUCAACCAACGAUUUAUUAAGAAAAGCGAUUGCUUAUCGUCCAGUUAUAACACAACUUUAUAGUGAGUGUACAGAUAGCUAUAUAACUGAUGACACAUGGGAACUAGCUAUAGGUGUACAUAAAAUAUUAGAAGCGUAUGACCACGCAACUAAGAUUUUUUUCAUAUGUUUACGAACCAAACGUUCACUUAGUAAUAAGUGAGUGUAUUACUAUUUUUUAUCAUCUUCUUAAACAUACGCAUGAUGAUACUAACCCAUAUUUAAAGCCGAUUCUUGCAGAUAUGAUGGAUAAGUGAAAGAUAUAUUUUACCGAUUUUCCUUUUAUUUAUGGAAUUUCAACCAUUUUAGACCCAUGUUUUAAGACAUCUUCAUAACUUUAUGAUUACUAUGCUAGUGUAUAUAACCCAAAACGCGAUACGUCUAGGCAUGCUAGCGUCUCGGCACGUCCCUCUUAUUAUAAUUUUCCGUAAUAGCUAAUAUAAUAAGCCAAGAUGAUAGUUUUGUAGGAUUAUCUUCUUCACUCUCCACUGCAUAUUUAGAAUUAGAUAAUUAUCUUAAACAUCACUUUGAAAUUAACCAAGGUAGCUAUAAUAUUUUAGAGUGGUGGAAAGAAAAAUCUAUAAAAUUUCCCAUAUUAUUGAGGAUUGCAAAGGAUGUCCUUGCAAUUUCUGCUUCUACGAUUGCGUCGUAGUCUGCUUUUAGUGCAGGUAGAAGAGUUUUAGACGAAAAGAGAUCUCGUCUUGCUCCACAUAGUAUUCAAAUAUGUGUUUGCAAGAAAGAUUGGGAUCAAGCGGAGAUUCGAACACAAGGACUAAGGAAUGAUGAUGAUCAAGGCGAUGAUGAUGAUGGAUACAUCUGCAUCAUCGUCAGGAGGAGAGUCAGCGGAAGCAUCUAACCAACCAGAUGAUGAUGACGAAGACGAAUAGGAUCAAUCGGACAACGAUAAAUCAACAUUCAACAACUACAAAUAAAAGGUAUGACAAAGAACUACGUGGACUUUGAUUCCUUCGAGAUACGUAGACAACUUAGUAUUCCUUUGGGUACUAGGUUCAAGUCCAUUUUCUCCCUCUUUUUUUAUUAAUCAUCUUUAUCGACAUUAUCGUUGAUUCGUUUCUUAUUAAUUUAUUUUUUUCAUUCUUUUUAGUAAAUAUUUUAAUAACGAUGACAACUUGACAAGCAAUGAAUUUCGCUAAUAAUCAAGUAAUCAUCAAAGGGGUCAUUGUCCGACUGUUAUUUCCUACACUACUUUGAUUAACGGGUACUGCACGUAUGGUGAAAUGGGCGCAGCAUUUAAGGUUUUUGAUGAGAUGUCUGAGAAGGGUGCAACCCCUAAUUCGUUGACUUAUAGUGUUUUGCUUGGUGGGGUUUUGGUCAAUGGUGAUGCAUAGCUCAGGAAGGACUUGAUGAGUAAACUUUGGGAGCAGAUGAUAAAUGUGCUGCCUUUGUCAAUCUUAUUAAUUCUUUGAGUAAGGAAGGAUUUUUUGAUGAAAUUUUCGAGAUUUCUGAGGAUAUGCCUCAAGGUAGUAGUAUUCCUACGGAAUUUUCUUAUGCUCAAAUGGUAGAUUCUUUGUGCAGAGCUGGUAGGCAUAAUAGGGCAUCAAGGAUAGUGUAUAUAAUGAGAAAAAAAGGUUAUAAACCAAGCAUGGCAGCAUAUAAUUCUAUCAUUCACGGAUUUGGUGAUGUAUUUUAUUUAUAGAUUAUCGUUUAUCUUACAUUCUCAAUUAAAAAAAUACAAAAAAAUAAAAAAAACCGUAGACCAGACCAGAACAGACCGUUCUAGAACGGUGUGGUCUGGUCCGGUCUGGUGUCUUAACUGGUCUGGUCUGGUCUGUAAAAUUUCUAGAUCGAAAUUUCAAGUCUGGUCUGAUUUUUCUGUCAAACCAGACCAGACCGAACCGUGUGCAGCCCUAAUCUUGUUAACUUAACCUGGUGAGGGAAAAAUUUUGUUAUUGAGAAUGACAAUAUAAAUUAGGCUUAUUCAAAUUUAUAAAUAAAAAUAAAUAAUGUAAAAUUAUUUUUAUUGUAAUUUCUUAUAUUUUAAACUCUAAUAGUUAAAUAUCUUGAUAGAUGUUUAGUGGAUAAUAUAAUUAGUUAAGUAAUUGGUUAUAUUGUCGAUAUAGUAGCUUGGUAUAAGUAUUAAGCUUUCCUAUUAGUUUAAGUAAUUGGUUAAUAUCGGAGUGUUUUAAGGAGACGCUUUAACAUAUGUACCGGAGAACUCCAUUCCACUGUGCAAAUCAAGAAAAGGGAGGAAUAAUGAUAAAAAAAAUACUCCCUUCAUCCCACUUAUUAAACAUUAUUUGCUAUCUCACUCAUUUUAAAUCAUUUCUGUUUUUGGACAAUGGUCCAUCACUUUUUUUUUAUCCCAUCUAUAUAUGUUAAGUCUCAUUUAAUGUAAUUUCUUAUAUUUUAAACUCUAAUAGUUAAAUAUCUUGAUAGAUGUUUUAGUGGAUAAUAUAAUUAUUUAAGUAAUUGAUUAUAUUGUCGAUAUAGUAGUUUGAUAUCGGAGUAAUUGGUUAAUAUUAAGCUUUCGUAUUAGUUUAAGUAAUUGGUUAAUAUCGAAAUGUUUUAAAGAGACCCUUUAAGAAUGUACCGGAGAAUAAUGCCGCUGCCUUGAGUGACACACUGCAUUGCCUUCUUUGGGCGUUGAAGAACUCCAUUCCACUAUGCUAAUUUGAAUAUCAUUAUGUAUAUAUAACUCUAAAACUUCAUCUGCAUUUUCUAUAAUACUUUUUCCAUAUUAGCUUAUUAACUAAUUGCAAUUACUUACACAGUUUAUGUCUUUGCUCUUUGCAUUGGUUGUUUUUCAGAUGAAGGAUGAUCCCACAUUGGGUAACAGGGCCGUCUUGGAUAUUUUAGGGGCCCUUAGCAAAAAAUGAAAUAUGAACACAUGUUUCACUUUUCAAAAAUAUCAUUGAUAGAGUGUUAAUUUUUUUAUUGUUUAAAUAAGACAAUACUUUGCAUAUCUAACUCAAUCAUAGUUAGAGCUGUACAAAAGUGACACGACCCGAAACCGAAAGUUAACCGACCCGAAAAUAUGUUUCUUUUUUAGGUUUAUCGAACCGACAUUAUCCGAACCGAAGUUGCGUCUGAAUCGAUUUACGACCGAAAAUCGUAAAAUCGAACACGAACUGCGACCGAUUUUUAUAACUGACAUAUAACCGUUAACUAAGAUUACCCGAAACUAAUAGUGACCGACCCGAGUCAUACCCGACCCGAAUCAUGCUCAAAAGCGAACUUGAUCAGGCUAAAAUCGACUUAACCCGAACAAACUUUUAAUCGAAAUGCUGUAAAAUUGAACCAAUUUUUAACAUAGAGGUAUGACUCAUAUUCAAUCAUCUUAUUAGUUAAUCUAAUAAAGUAAUAGAAAUUUUAGUAAAUUAAAUUUUAUACAUACAUGGUUUUCUAUAUUUAGAGUUAAUAAUCAAUGGUCAAUAUUUAUUUAACUAUUAUGAAUCAAAUUAGAUGAAAAAUGAAAAAACUUUAAUUUUAAUUGACAGUCAAACAAGUAAAAAUAACAAAGUAACAAUCACUAACUAAUUUGCAUUUUAACUAUAUUGCCUUAACUAAGGGGAAUCUUAUGAAAAAAUGUCUAACAACAUAAUCUGAUAUGGACUCGAUCUAUAGUAAUAAGUAGUAGUAAUUUGCAGCCGAAUUCUACUAGAAAAUAAUACCCGAACCCGAUCUGUACCCAGUAAAACCGAACCAAUUAUUAAUAGAUGAAAGCCCGAGAUCGAUUGAAUACUCGACACGAACUUAUACCGACACCGAACCGAUGCUAACCCGAUAGCUCAAAUAACUGAUCUUCAACCAAACCGGGACUAACUGACCUGACUCGAGUGUGACCCGCUGUAACACGCAUCCGAAAAAUAACCAAUCUGAAAUACAACUUAACCGAAUGACAACCCGUCCGAAACCGAACCUAUCACCCGAAUGAACACCUCUAAUCAUAGUAUUUACUAAAAGACUUGGAAAAUGACACAUGUCAUAGUUCAAGACAAACUGCCAAAUGUAAUAAUAUUUGUCAACUGUAAUAAUAUUAGUGGACUUAAUUUGCUUACAUGUAAUUCACUUAAUUCCUCUCUUAAAAUAACUUAAUUCUUAAAAUAGAAUAUUUGCCUAAAUUAUAGAGAAUAAUUAAUUAAUUUAUUUAUGACAUGGUUUUUCCAAUUAUAUUAUUAUUAUUAUUAGUUAAAUAAAUAAAUUAUUAUUUAUUUAAUUUUUUAACUAAGAUAAAAAAAUUUAUCUAUAUUACUCCUUCAAUCUUCAAUCUCUUGCACUUAUUCUUUAACUUUCAAUCUUCUUAAACCUUCAAUCUUCAACCAUCAACCUUCAACCUUCAACAUAUAUUCAUCCGACAUUAUCUAUUUUCGGUUAGUUUUCUAACAUUUUUUAGUUUUUUUUGAUAGUUCAUAUUUUGUUGUUAUUUGAUGAUAGUGUGUAUGUAGAUUUGUUUUUCGGUUUGUAUGUUGUUGGUGGUAAAUUUCAGUUUGUGCAUCAUCCAUUUUUUUUGUUCAUUUUUGAUAAUUUUUAAUUUGUAUGUUGCUGUACGUGUUGGUAAUUUUUAAUGUUGAUAGAUUUUGUUAAUUUUUCUGUUUAUAUGUUGAUUUUUGUUAAUUUUUUUUGUUUAUGUGAUAGUUUUUGUUACUUAUUUAUAUGUAGAUUUUUCUGUUAGUUCACAUUGUUGUAUGUUGUUGUUGGUAGAUUUUUUUUGUUAAUUCUUGAUAGUUAUUUUUCUUUUUUUCGAUUUUUUUUUAUUUCAGAUUUUUUUGAUUUAUCUGUCCAAAUGUUUAGUUUCAGUUUCUUUUUUAAAUUUUUGAAUUUUUUUGUGUUUGUUUGUAGGUAAUUAGCUAUUAGUUUUUUUAAUUAUUCGUGAAAUAAUGAAUUUUUUGUUAAUAUCAAUUUUUAAUUUCAUGGUGCAAAUCGCGGUGCAUCUCUUAGUUCCCAAGGAUCUUGUAACACACGUGCUCCAGGCGGCUCGUGCAGGUCUCGUAUGCGGCGGGGUGGUGGAAGUGGUAGUGGUAAUUAGUAGAUGAUUUAGGAUGUUGUAUAUUUUAUACAAAAAUAAUUUAUAUGUAAAUUUAGUAUUUUAAACCUUUUGUAUUAUAUUUGUUAUUAUUUUCUAUAUUAAUAUAAUUAGUUUAUUGUUUAUAUAAUUUUUUUUGUCGUAUAUAUAUAUUUUUUUAUUUUAGUUUUAUGUAAUUUUAUAUAUUUAUUGUUAUUUUAAUUAAAAUCUAAAUUAUAAAUUAUAAACUCUUAAUUCUUAAUCCCUCCAAUCCAUUUGAGUUGUCUCAUUCAGUUUUGGCACACUAUUCAAUACACUAAUUCAAUUCUAAUUAUCUCUAAUUGUGCAUAAUUAAAAAAUUAUAAAAAUUUGAUAUUAAUAAAAUUUAUAUUGAGAAGAAUCAAACAAGAUCCCACAUGACUAUAUUUUGACGUUUAAAUUAAGAAUAGAAUACAAAUUAAGAGUGAUCGAUGAAUAGUGUUAAAAAAUAAAAUGGGACAACUCAAAUGAAUCGGAGGGAGUAUUAAUUAAUAUUAAAAUACUAAUAAUAAUAAUAAUACAAUAAUAAUAAUGAAAUAUAAUAGAAAGUUCAAGAUAUAAAAUGGUGAGGACAUUAGGUUUCUGACACAAACAAUUGAGACAGGAUCACUACUUGAAAUACUGAUGGCGAUGACAAAAAUGGCUAUGGGUCCUUCCUGUCGCCAUAUGGGUGAUCGCGACAGGAUGGAGACGGGAAGGACCCGUAGCCAUCUGGUUUUUUUUGUAGUGGUUGUAAGAAGGUGUUAAUUUUGUUUUUAUGUUGUUUUCAAGAAUGGUGAUUGUGUCCUUCUUUGAGUGGGAUGAAAAAUUCAAAUUUCCAUAAAAUUCAGAUGUUAUGUUUGGAAAAUUGGUAGAGCUAGAGGCACAGUGUGGUAUGUUGGAUGAGAAGAUGAGGCCCAACCUCAAGAGUGAAACCUAUGUCUAAGCAAAAAUCGAACAAUUAUCAGUUGAAUAAUAAGGUAUCAAUUGCGAAUUUAAAAUUUAAAACUUACUUGUGUUGUGAUGUUUUUCUCGAAAUCUCCUUUGCAAUACCGAAGAAAGGGAAGUUGCCUUAAAAUUUUGCUUGAACCUCCAUCACAAGAAUGCUAAAGGUUAGAUUAGUUUUGGUUAAAGAAGAUAAUUCCAUGUGUGAAGAAGAAGAUAGAAACUUUUAUGUUUUGAAAUAAAGUCUAACUGACAGCUAUGACUUGGUUGGUAUAGGAAUUUAAUGAUUUUACCGAUGUCCAGUAAAAUAGCUCUUUCUUUGCAAAAUUGAGCAAAAGGUUGGAUUUUUAAAGAAUAAAUGAAACAUUGGCCUUUUAUUUGCAGAUGGCCAAAAUGUUUGCCUUUUAAAAACAUUUUUUCCUAUAAUAUAAUGCAUAAUAUAUUGUUGACAAUUUUUAAAAUUAUAGAGUUAAUUUAUACAUGUAACUAUCAAAAUUGAGUGUCUCUACUGCAUAAUAUCAUUCACUUUAUUUUUUUUAUAUUAUAUGUUUAUAUAUGUCGAUGUUAAAAAAAUUGUGUUUUACACGGGUUUCUACACUAGUUAAACACUAAAAUAUAAUAAAUUAACAAUCUAUACUUGACUACCUAGAUUCAAUGAUUUUGUCGGAAAAAGAAAAUAUCAAAAAAAAAAAGCUGAGUAACUAUUAACCCAAAAAUAAUUGAAAAACACUACACUACUAUGUCGUCAUUUAUAUUACCUUUGUUUAGAAAUACUUCUUACUAAUAGUGACAUGUUGUAUCAUAUUGUGUGGGAAAAUUAAAUUAGGACCUUAUUUAAUUUUGGUAUUAUUUAUUUAUUUUAUUUUUAUUUAUUAAAAAUUAUAAAUAGAGUUAAAGUUUAAUAAAUACGAGAUAUAGCCACUAUAUAUCAAAUAAUGAAACUAACUAAUUCCAUC
Molecule: long non-coding RNA, 10030 nt
Organism: Amaranthus tricolor (Joseph's coat)
Lineage: Eukaryota; Viridiplantae; Streptophyta; Magnoliopsida; Caryophyllales; Amaranthaceae
Exons: 3
Source: RefSeq, a predicted model, not a curated record